CAUUGAGAAGCUAACCAGCACUAACCUUUUAAGUUAGAGAUUGGGGGCUUAAGUCCUCCCUCAAUGA
This 67-nucleotide transfer RNA is filed under the name Potamochoerus porcus (red river hog). RNAcentral's name for it is "tRNA-Lys". It matches the Rfam family "tRNA". Rfam says of the family: Transfer RNA (tRNA) molecules are approximately 80 nucleotides in length. Their secondary structure includes four short double-helical elements and three loops (D, anti-codon, and T loops). Lineage: Eukaryota; Metazoa; Chordata; Mammalia; Artiodactyla; Suidae. The record is from RNAcentral.